Molecule: ribosomal RNA, 497 nt
Filed under: uncultured bacterium
Lineage: Bacteria
Description: partial 16S ribosomal RNA
Rfam family: Bacterial small subunit ribosomal RNA
Source: RNAcentral
GAUGAACGCUGGCGGCGUGCCUAAUACAUGCAAGUCGAGCGAACGGACGAGAAGCUUGCUUCUCUGAUGUUAGCGGCGGACGGGUGAGUAACACGUGGAUAACCUACCUAUAAGACUGGGAUAACUUCGGGAAACCGGAGCUAAUACCGGAUAAUAUUUUGAACCGCAUGGUUCAAAAGUGAAAGACGGUCUUGCUGUCACUUAUAGAUGGAUCCGCGCUGCAUUAGCUAGUUGGUAAGGUAACGGCUUACCAAGGCAACGAUGCAUAGCCGACCUGAGAGGGUGAUCGGCCACACUGGAACUGAGCCACGGUCCAGACUCCUACGGGAGGCAGCAGUAGGGAACGUUCCGCAAUGGGCGAAAGCCUGACGGAGCAACGCCGCGUGAGUGAUGAAGGUCUUCGGAUCGUAAAACUCUGUUAUUAGGGAAGAGCAUAUGUGUAAGUAACUGUGCACAGCGUGACGGUACCUAAUCAGAAAGCCACGGCUAACUACGUG